CGAAUCCUGAACUGUUUGUAAUCCCAUUCAUAACAGUUUUGACCGAACAAUAAAUCGUUGGGAAUCCAUAUUUUGACUUGUGCAAACAGGCCCUCGAACGAGUUGGGGAAGUUUAAGCAGUUAAAGAGGUUACCCACCUGCAAGGGAAGCGGGUUCAAAACAUUAAAGUUACGGCAAUUUGGGAUUCGU
This 189-nucleotide non-coding RNA is filed under the name Lysinibacillus sp. BW-2-10. RNAcentral describes it as "6S RNA". It matches the Rfam family "6S / SsrS RNA". Rfam says of the family: E. coli 6S RNA was the first non coding RNA to be sequenced, but its function was unknown until recently. The record is from RNAcentral. Lineage: Bacteria; Bacillati; Bacillota; Bacilli; Caryophanales; Bacillaceae.